UCUGAUUCCCCUUGGCCAUCUCUCCUGACCUGCUGUUCUCUCUCAGGGCCCCCCAGGACCAGGUGAUGGCAGCACUGCUCCAGGGGAGCCUGGGCUGCCGGGUCUUCCUGGAAGCCCUGGACCCCAAGGCCCAGUUGGCCCCUCGGGAGAGAAAGGAGAAAAGGGUGACUGUGAGGAUGGAGCCCCAGGCCUCCCAGGACAACCUGGUAGCCCGGGUGAGCAGGGCCUACGAGGACCUUCUGGAGACAUUGGCCCCAAAGGUGAUAGAGGACCCAAAGGGGCUGUGGGUGACACUGGAGAGAAGGUAA
RNAcentral lists this long non-coding RNA (308 nucleotides) under Canis lupus dingo (dingo). RNAcentral describes it as "lncRNA (ENSCAFG00020020672.1)". Lineage: Eukaryota; Metazoa; Chordata; Mammalia; Carnivora; Canidae. The record is from RNAcentral.